UUUUACCGCAUGGCAGUGAUGUGACGAGCUGGGUGAGAGUGUUGAGAAUUCAAGUGUAGUGUUGGAGUUCGACAUUUGUUAAGUAUGAGUGAGAGGAAAACUGUAUAAGAGAUGUGACCCAUAAACCUGAUACCUUAAGAUUUUGAGUUAAGAUGUGAUGUCGAUAUCUCUUGGGUGUCGUGCUCCUCGGGUCAUGGGCUCUCCUAUAUCUCCCAACAAGUGGUAUCAGAGCCGAUGAUUCAUAGGACCAUGGUAACGACUAUUUGUGUCGAAAAUCUUCCUAGCAGUGUUGAAUUGCUCGUUCAAAACCCACCCUUUGGUCCGAACCUGACCCCACCCGACCGAUGGACAUGCCUACUAGGUCCUAGAGAACCAAGGACACCUCCUUUUUGUUUUCAUAAAAAAUAUCUCUCUUUAUUGGGAGAAGCCCAAAAUGGAUAGGGCUGAAAGCCCAAAUAACAACAAAGCGCAUGUCCUUCUACCAGCCCUGAAGUUAGUACAAAGAAACUGUAUUCUUCGAGAGAGCACCUCCAUUGGACUCUUGUUGAUGCCGACGAAGAAGAAGACGGGGACAGCAUUCACGAUGGGUUCAUUUUCAAAGAUGAAAAUUCCCGAGGUCAUCAUCAGCUCCAGAAAAUGCCACCAUCAAUUGCAAUUGUAACUAGAAAAAGAUUCCGGAACUUAGACUUCAGCUUGCUGCACUUCUUGCCGUGAAUUUCAUGAGCUAGCUAUUAUGCUUAUGAGAUUUUCAUUCGGACGUGUAUUUUGAUAUUAUUUUGGAAAUGCCUAAAAUGGAUGCUAACUGAAAGCAGGUGAAGGCUUAUGUAUCUGUAUUUUUAUUCAAAUAUAUGCAUAUUCAUAAACUUUUUUCUUCAUUAUUUUGGGGGGAAGGGGAGAUUAUGACAUAUUGAGAGCUCUGCAAUCUGGUACUGCUUCUAAUACUCGUUUAUGUCUGCACUUUUUUUUUUUUUUCCCUUUAAGAGUACUAUAGAGUGGCAGUCCACCUGAUUUAUCUGUUCUUCAGUUCUUGGGUUGGUUCUAAUUGCUGAGCGCUGAAUUGUUAGUGAUGAGUGAUUUUAAAGUCCCGACAUUUUGUUUUAGAAAACCGCUAAAUAUGGAAUAUAAAUCUUAAUGAAUGCAGAACUAGGCAUGCCUCAGUUAAGCUGCUUAGAUUGGGAUCUGCUAGUGGUUUUGAACUUAUGCCUUAAAUUAUUACUUUGUAUUUUUGAAUCAUUGGAGUGUAGGUGCAGUUGUGUCUCAAACUAGAAAAUUUAAUAGUUGGUGCUAUUUUUCACCCUAAAAGAUAGGUCAAAUAAUAUGCCCAGGAAACAUAAUCACUAGGUAGUAGAAUGAUGAUCUUCAAAACUGGAUUGAUGUGCAUCACUUAGAAGAUCAUUUGGAAGAAAGAGGUUGCAUUAUUCUGGCACUGAGUAGGAAACAGUAUUUAAUUGAACUCUUCUGGACGAAAAUUCACUCACUUGCCUUUUUUCCUUAUAUUUUUAUGAUUUUCAAAGCACGGUAAGUGAUACACCGGGUCGGUGUUCUCCUCCGUACGUGUCUGCAAUUAUGUAAAGAAGAGCUAGACCACGAUAAAAAAGUUGACUAAAUUUCUUCAUAUUAACAAAGAUGGCUUGGCUGGUUGGACAUCCUCUUCUUAAGGUGUAGCUGAGAUUGAUUGUGGUAUAUUUGUACAAGGCUGGGGUGGAAUGAUUUAAUCAAAAUCUCAUGUCCUGGAGAACUUCAUGUGAAGAUGAUUGAAUCAAAGUGCAUUUGCUCAUGAAUGCAUUCAAAUAAGCGAAAAGCUAUGAAUGAACCAUAUGGUCUGACACACGCAGAACAUGUUCUUUGUAUUGACUACCUUAAAUGUCCUUUGCUGGAGAUUGAGGCAUCUGGCUUAGGUGUACCAUUCCGGGCAGCCUCUUGUUGCUCCAAAGCCUUGGACUCGGAAGUAUUCUAACCAAGCAGUUGCAUCCUGUAAUAGAUUCAUUUCCAUGUGUCUAAGGAACAAGGCUUAUUGUUUAUAUAUAUAUAUAUAUAUAUAUAUAUAUAUAUAUAUAUAUAUAC
Long non-coding RNA from Lotus japonicus, 2064 nucleotides. RefSeq lists it as uncharacterized. The record is from RefSeq and is a predicted model, not a curated record. NCBI's taxonomy places the organism in Eukaryota, Viridiplantae, Streptophyta, Magnoliopsida, Fabales, Fabaceae. The transcript is spliced from 3 exons.